UACGUAGGGGGCAAGCGUUGUCCGGAUUCAUUGGGCGUAAAGAGCGUGUAGGCGGCCAGGUAGGUCGGUUGUGAAAACUGGAGGCUCAACCUUCAGAGGUCGACCGAAACCAUCUGGCUAGAGUCCGGGAGAGGAGAGUGGAAUUCCCAGUGUAGAGGUGAAAUUCGUAGAUAUUGGGAAGAACACCGGUGGCGAAGGCGGCGACCUGGUCCGAUACUGACGCUGAGGCGCGAAAGCGUGGGGAGCAAACAGG
RNAcentral lists this ribosomal RNA (253 nucleotides) under uncultured bacterium. RNAcentral describes it as "partial 16S ribosomal RNA". It matches the Rfam family "Bacterial small subunit ribosomal RNA", at positions 524 to 776 of the family's 1533-position model. The record is from RNAcentral.